GUCUUUUUGAUUAUAAUUUAAAGUCUAACCUGCCCAAUGAGUAUUUAAAUGGCCGCGGUAAUUUGACCGUGCAAAGGUAGCAUAAUCAUUAGUUUUUUAAUUGAAAGCUAGAAUGAAUGGUUGGACGAGAAAAUAGCUGUCUCAAUCUAAUUUUAAUUAGAAUUUUAUUUGUAAGUAAGAAAGCUUACAUAAUUUUAAAAGACGAGAAGACCCUAUAGAAUUUUAUAUAUUUAUAUAUGUUUAUUUUUUAGAAAUUUAGUGUUUAUAUAUAUAAAUAUAUUUUGUUGGGGUGAUAGAAAAAUUUAAUGAACUUUUUUUUUAUUUUAUCAUUAAUGAAUGAAUUAUUGAUCCGUUAUUUACGAUUAUAAGAUUAAAUUACCUUAGGGAUAACAGCGUAAUUUUUUUUUAGAGUUCUUAUCGAAAAAAGAGUUUGCGACCUCGAUGUUGGAUUAAAAUUAACUUAUGGUGUAGGGGCUAUAAAGUUAGGUCUGUUCGACCUUUAAAAUUUUACAUGAUCUGAGU
RNAcentral lists this ribosomal RNA (522 nucleotides) under Cyclocephala kaszabi. RNAcentral's name for it is "partial 16S ribosomal RNA". It matches the Rfam family "Bacterial large subunit ribosomal RNA", at positions 1819 to 2610 of the family's 2925-position model. Lineage: Eukaryota; Metazoa; Arthropoda; Insecta; Coleoptera; Scarabaeidae. The record is from RNAcentral.